RNAcentral lists this ribosomal RNA (255 nucleotides) under Pseudomonas aeruginosa. RNAcentral's name for it is "partial 23S ribosomal RNA". It matches the Rfam family "Bacterial large subunit ribosomal RNA", at positions 1375 to 1630 of the family's 2925-position model. Lineage: Bacteria; Pseudomonadati; Pseudomonadota; Gammaproteobacteria; Pseudomonadales; Pseudomonadaceae. The record is from RNAcentral.
CAGGGUUAGUCGGUUCCUAAGGCGAGGCUGAAAAGCGUAGUCGAUGGGAAACAGGUUAAUAUUCCUGUACUUCUGGUUACUGCGAUGGAGGGACGGAGAAGGCUAGGCCAGCUUGGCGUUGGUUGUCUAAGUUUAAGGUGGUAGGCUGAAAUCUUAGGUAAAUCCGGGGUUUCAAGGCCGAGAGCUGAUGACGAGUCGUCUUUUAGAUGACGAAGUGGUUGAUGCCAUGCUUCCAAGAAAAGCUUCUAAGCUUCA